UACAGAGGGUGCGAGCGUUGUUCGGAAUUAUUGGGCGUAAAGGGCGCGUAGGCGGUGCGGUAAGUCACCUGUGAAAUCUCCUGGCUCAACUGGGAGCUUGCAGGCGAAACUGCCGUGCUGGAGUGUGGGAGAGGUGAGUGGAAUUCCCAGUGUAGCGGUGAAAUGCGUAGAUAUUGGGAGGAACACCAGUGGCGAAGGCGGCUCACUGGACCGGUUCUGACGCUGAGGCGCGAAAGCGUGGGGAGCAAACGGG
This 253-nucleotide ribosomal RNA is filed under the name uncultured bacterium. RNAcentral's name for it is "partial 16S ribosomal RNA". It matches the Rfam family "Bacterial small subunit ribosomal RNA", at positions 524 to 776 of the family's 1533-position model. The record is from RNAcentral.